This 704-nucleotide ribosomal RNA is filed under the name uncultured bacterium. Its description in RNAcentral is "bacterial SSU rRNA". It matches the Rfam family "Bacterial small subunit ribosomal RNA", at positions 63 to 756 of the family's 1533-position model. The record is from RNAcentral.
UGAACGAGAACCAAGGGGCUUGCUCUUUGGGGAAAGUGGCGCACGGGUGAGUAACGCGUGGAUAACGUGCCCUAGGGUUGGGAAUAACCCACCGAAAGGUGGACUAAUACCGGAUGUGUUCCAAGAAAGUGCGCUUUUUUGGAAGAAAGCGGGGUAACCCGCGCCCAAGGAUCGGUCCGCGUUCCAUCAGCUAGUUGGUGAGGUAAUGGCUCACCAAGGCUACGACGGAUAGCUGGUCUGAGAGGAUGAUCAGCCACACUGGGACUGAGACACGGCCCAGACUCCUACGGGAGGCAGCAGUGGGGAGUAUUGGUCAAUGGGCGAAAGCCUGAACCAGCAAUGCCGCGUGAGUGAUGAAGGCCUUCGGGUUGUAAAGCUCUGUCAGCGGGAACGAAUAAGCCGAUUAAUACCCGGUGAUGACGGUACCCGCGAAGGAAGCACCGGCUAACUCUGUGCCAGCAGCCGCGGUAAUACAGAGGGUGCAAGCGUUGUUCGGAAUUACUGGGCGUAAAGCGCGUGUAGGCGGUUUGGUAAGUCGGUUGUGAAAUCCCUUGGCUCAACCAAGGAACUGCAUCCGAAACUGCCAAGCUAGAGUAUCGGAGGGGUUGGCGGAAUUCCCGGUGUAGAGGUGAAAUUCGUAGAUAUCGGGAGGAACACCCGUGGCGAAGGCGGCCAUCUGGAAGAUUACUGACGCUGAGACGCGA